This 593-nucleotide long non-coding RNA is filed under the name Equus asinus (donkey). Its description in RNAcentral is "lncRNA (ENSEASG00005027418.1)". Lineage: Eukaryota; Metazoa; Chordata; Mammalia; Perissodactyla; Equidae. The record is from RNAcentral.
UUUCUGUGGGUCAGGAACUUGGGAGCUAAAUUCUGGUUCAGGGCCUCCCAUAAAGUUGCGUGAAGAUGUCACCUGGGGCUGUGAUCAUCUGAAGGCCUGACUGGUGCUGGAGAAUCCACUCCCUGGGGGACUCACUCACGUGACUGGCAACAGGAGCACUCACAUUGCAUUGUUGAGGGUAGACCGGCUGAGCGUGAGGGGAACCUACCACAGGGAACAGAGGAGGGAGAUGACGAGUAUUGUGUGCACCUUGAGACAAGCUGCAGCAGCAAGGACCAAGCAGAAGACGGAAGAGCAUUUCCUGACACUUAGUAAAUGAACGAAGUCUAACUGAGAGAUGAUUUUUAAGUACCUGCUCAGAGCCAGACACUGUGGCAGCCCCUGGGCUCCAACAGUGACAAAGAGAAACACGGUGCCUGCUGUGAUAACGCGGCAGUUUGGGGCAUGGGGAACUUAAGUGGCAUGCAUGCGUACAACAGAUAAAGGCAGAGCCACUGAGAUUCAGGACCAGCUCCAAGGCACCUCGGCUUACACACGUGGAGAAGCCUCUGUUCCCGCGUUCACUUUAUUGCAGGCCCAGCUGACGUCUUCUU